This 370-nucleotide ribosomal RNA is filed under the name uncultured organism. RNAcentral's name for it is "partial 16S ribosomal RNA". It matches the Rfam family "Bacterial small subunit ribosomal RNA", at positions 527 to 896 of the family's 1533-position model. The record is from RNAcentral.
AGAGGGUGCAAGCGUUAAUCGGAAUUACUGGGCGUAAAGAGUGCGUAGGUGGUUAAAUAAGUUGGAUGUGAAAGCCCCGGGCUUAACCUGGGAAUGCCAUUCAAAACUGUUUAACUUGAGGAUAGGAGAGGGAAGUGGAAUUUCCGGAGUAGCGGUGAAAUGCGUAGAUACCGGAAGGAACACUCGUGGCGAAGGCGGCUUCCUGGCCUAUAUCUGACACUGAGGCACGAAAGCGUGGGGAGCGAACAGGAUUAGAUACCCUGGUAGUCCACGCCGUAAACGAUGAAGACUAGCCGUUGGCCCCCUUAAGGGGUUAGUGGCGGAGCUAACGCAUUAAGUCUUCCGCCUGGGGAGUACGGCCGCAAGGUUA